AAUCACAGCGGGAUGUUUUAGUCACAUCACUGGACAAUGGUGAACAGAGAGAGAGAGAGCAGAGUCUUAGCAGCGGGACAGCCUGUGAUGCAGAAGAGCCACUAACAAAGCCCCAGUCACAGACGCUGCCCCCUAGGACUGGGACAAAGCUGUUACAGCUAGAGCUGCUCUGGUCCCCCCAGAGACCUCCAGAGCAACAGAGACAAACUUCUCAUCUAGAACCAAAGCCUGGACCAAGCACACAGUGUGACCCAGAGACAGAUCUUCACAUAGAGCAAGGUGGGAAGCUCCUACAAGCACCAGUUUCUGCAUAACUAGAACAGGAAGUGACAUCUUCAAUGGAGGGGACGCCACAGGGGUCAAAGCUGGAGACUGGGGUGUCCACUGGUCAACCUGUAAAAGGGGCGGGACCGAACACAUUCACCAAGCCAAGAGAGAACCACGAGGCACCUGAGGAAGAGUGUGAGGAGGAGGAAGAGGGGUCAAAUGGAGGUGGGCGUCAGAGGGGUGGGCGGCAGUCCCCUGACGAGAAGCCUGGCAGCAAAAAUGCUUCAAAGUACAGCACCGUAUCCUACAGGAAGAUACGAAAAGGGAACACCAAACAGAGGAUUGAUGAGUUUGAGUCCAUGGUAAACACAUAACCCUGAUGUCAAUGUACUCCGUAAGACCAUCCUGAACAGUCAUACCAAGAACAGAGAUUUGGACUAACAGUGAGCUAACUGCAAAAUAUACUUGGAUGAUAAUUAUUCUGUGACUUGUAGAUUCACGCUGCACACGUAGAUCAGACUUACGGUAAAUUAGUUGAUGUUGACAGACCUUGAGACAAGAAGGUCUACGUUUAGAAAAAUAUACUUUACACAUACACUGAGUGUACAAAACAUUAAGAACACCUUCCUAAUAUUGUGUUGCAGAACAGCCUCAAUUUGUGGACUCUACAAGGUGUCGAAAGGAUGCUGGCCCAUGUUGACUCCAGUGCUUCCCAUAGUUGUGCCAAGUUGGCUGGUGGACCAUUCUUCAUACUCACGGGAAACUGUUGAGCAUGAAAAUCCCAGUAGCGUUGCAAUUCUUGAUACAAACCGGUGCGCCUGGCACCUACUACCAUACCCCGUUCUUGCCCAUUCACACUCUGAAUGGCAUACACAAUCCAUGUCUCAAUUGUCUCAAGGCUUAAAAAUCCUUCUUUAACCCGUCUCCUCCCUUUCAUCUACACUGAUUGAAGUGGAUUUAACAAGUGACAUCAAUAAGGGAUCAUCUUUCACCUGGAUUCACCUGGUCAGUCUGUCAUGUAAAGAGCACUCAGUGUACUUUACAUUUACGGACACAAGGUGGCGCUUGAGAUCUAGAUUAACUAAGGACCAAACAGCAGGCUGUGUGUGUGUGUGUGUGUGUGUGUGUGUGUCUUCACACAUGGUCUCCCUUCCUGUCCCUCCUCCACUGAUAAGAGGGCUCAUUAAUUCUCAGGCCCAUGGUCAAUAUCUGUGUGUGAGACAGAGAGAGAGAGAGAGAGAGAGAGAGAGAGAGAAAGAUGAGCCCAUUUAGCAAAGCAGUAUGGUCAGACGGCAGCAUAGUUGAGGCUAGACUGCAGUGCCACCUGCUACGUUAGUUCUCCUAACCUGCUAUGUUAGUUCUCCUAACAUGCUACAUUCAUUCUCCUAACCUGCUAUGUUAGUUCAUCUAACCUGCUGAGUAAGUUCUCCUAACCUGCUAUGUUAGUUCUCCUAACCUGCUACGUUAGUUCUCCUAACCUGCUACGUUAAUUCUUCUAACCUGCUGAGUAAGUUCUCCUAACCUGCUACGUUAAUUCUCCUAACCUGCUGAGUAAGUUCUCCUAACCUGCUACUAAAAGCCCCCCCACCACAAAACAUCUUUCUGCGACCAUGAUAGUGCCGUUGGCAUUGUAACAUAGUGGUUGAUUGAAUUUCAAAUUCAAAUUACGAUGUGGAGGAGUAGAUGAAAGUGAUUUGUGUGUGAAAGUGAUCUAAAUGUAGCUAAUGUCACAGAUUACGGCAGCUUGGAAUGUGACAUUUAAGACUUCAUUAAUAUUUAUAGAGUGUAUUUCAUUGUGCCCUUACUGCCUGCAUUCACAUACAUAUCUACAGAAACUAAAGGAGCAAUCCUGGGCCAAUCAUGCCCAUUAAGAAAGGUAGUAAACAUCAUAGGUCUAAUGAGCUGUUUCCCUCCAUUCUAAUCUUGAUUUAGCUGUUGUGACCUGGUGAAUUAUGACAACUAGAUUAGUUGCCUUUGCCAAUUUGUCUCUUGGAAGUUUGUUUCAUGUUUGUGUUUUUUCUUAUGCUGCACGGUGUCGUAAAAUGUAUUUGAUGACAUUUUCCAAAGCUAACUUUGUAUUCACCUUAGCAUAUUGUCAACAAUAUAGCCCUUUCUUGUCUCUG
Salvelinus fontinalis (brook trout) is the source of this 2390-nucleotide long non-coding RNA. RefSeq lists it as uncharacterized. NCBI's taxonomy places the organism in Eukaryota, Metazoa, Chordata, Actinopteri, Salmoniformes, Salmonidae. The transcript has 3 exons. The record is from RefSeq and is a predicted model, not a curated record.